RNAcentral lists this unclassified non-coding RNA (391 nucleotides) under uncultured Ascomycota. RNAcentral describes it as "sequence contains ITS2". The record is from RNAcentral. Lineage: Eukaryota; Fungi; Ascomycota.
AACUUUUGGCAACGGAUCUCUCAUGCCUAGGUCGUACCGCCUCCGCACACGUGCUCGAUAGCCUGCUUGAUGUAGUCGGGUAUGUCACACUUUGUGUUGGAGGCUAGGAGAUCCUGCGCGAGUGCCUGUCCAAACCGUCCCUUCUGAACGUUGUUGCAAUUCCGCUCGAACAGUCCGCAAAACAGAGCUUUCGCCUUGGCCGCGUCAUCGCUUGCCUGAUUCACGGCCUUUGCCACUUCUUCCCCGAUCUUCGGAUGCAGCCUCUUCAGCGCCUUAAGCAUUACGAUUCGGUUCGAUUCGUAGAGCGCCAGAUCGUACUCCAGAGUCUUCAAGCCAUGGAACACGCCGACAAAGUCAUCUUUCAACUUAAGCAUAUCAAUAAGCGGAGGCU